RNAcentral lists this ribosomal RNA (1216 nucleotides) under Staphylococcus warneri. RNAcentral describes it as "bacterial SSU rRNA". It matches the Rfam family "Bacterial small subunit ribosomal RNA", at positions 56 to 1253 of the family's 1533-position model. The record is from RNAcentral. Lineage: Bacteria; Bacillati; Bacillota; Bacilli; Caryophanales; Staphylococcaceae.
UGCAAGUCGAGCGAACAGAUAAGGAGCUUGCUCCUUUGACGUUAGCGGCGGACGGGUGAGUAACACGUGGAUAACCUACCUAUAAGACUGGGAUAACUUCGGGAAACCGGAGCUAAUACCGGAUAACAUAUUGAACCGCAUGGUUCAAUAGUGAAAGGCGGCUUUGCUGUCACUUAUAGAUGGAUCCGCGCCGUAUUAGCUAGUUGGUAAGGUAACGGCUUACCAAGGCAACGAUACGUAGCCGACCUGAGAGGGUGAUCGGCCACACUGGAACUGAGACACGGUCCAGACUCCUACGGGAGGCAGCAGUAGGGAAUCUUCCGCAAUGGGCGAAAGCCUGACGGAGCAACGCCGCGUGAGUGAUGAAGGUCUUCGGAUCGUAAAACUCUGUUAUCAGGGAAGAACAAAUGUGUAAGUAACUGUGCACAUCUUGACGGUACCUGAUCAGAAAGCCACGGCUAACUACGUGCCAGCAGCCGCGGUAAUACGUAGGUGGCAAGCGUUAUCCGGAAUUAUUGGGCGUAAAGCGCGCGUAGGCGGUUUUUUAAGUCUGAUGUGAAAGCCCACGGCUCAACCGUGGAGGGUCAUUGGAAACUGGAAAACUUGAGUGCAGAAGAGGAAAGUGGAAUUCCAUGUGUAGCGGUGAAAUGCGCAGAGAUAUGGAGGAACACCAGUGGCGAAGGCGACUUUCUGGUCUGUAACUGACGCUGAUGUGCGAAAGCGUGGGGAUCAAACAGGAUUAGAUACCCUGGUAGUCCACGCCGUAAACGAUGAGUGCUAAGUGUUAGGGGGUUUCCGCCCCUUAGUGCUGCAGCUAACGCAUUAAGCACUCCGCCUGGGGAGUACGACCGCAAGGUUGAAACUCAAAGGAAUUGACGGGGACCCGCACAAGCGGUGGAGCAUGUGGUUUAAUUCGAAGCAACGCGAAGAACCUUACCAAAUCUUGACAUCCUUUGACCGCUCUAGAGAUAGAGUCUUCCCCUUCGGGGGACAAAGUGACAGGUGGUGCAUGGUUGUCGUCAGCUCGUGUCGUGAGAUGUUGGGUUAAGUCCCGCAACGAGCGCAACCCUUAAGCUUAGUUGCCAUCAUUAAGUUGGGCACUCUAAGUUGACUGCCGGUGACAAACCGGAGGAAGGUGGGGAUGACGUCAAAUCAUCAUGCCCCUUAUGAUUUGGGCUACACACGUGCUACAAUGGACAAUACAAAGGGCAGCUAA